This is a long non-coding RNA of Myzus persicae (green peach aphid), 1198 nucleotides long. RefSeq lists it as uncharacterized. Lineage: Eukaryota; Metazoa; Arthropoda; Insecta; Hemiptera; Aphididae. The transcript is spliced from 3 exons. The record is from RefSeq and is a predicted model, not a curated record.
CAAAUAUUUCGAUUAAAACACAAUAUUAUUAAUAUAUAAAGAUCGGUGAUUUUUUUCCGUAGUUGUUCGCCGGGGGAGUUUUUCUCCAGUGAUUUUUAUUCCACAUUCAAUGGUCGUGCUGCAUGGGUAACGAACCCUCGGAGUAGAUCCUUUUUUUAAAUAUUUCAAAUAUUAUUUCCCUAGAACAGCCGAACAUCAAACAAAUAGCAAUAUAAUUAUAAUAUAAUAAUAAAUGUGCAUAUAUUGAAUUUACGUAAUAAUUUAAAAGUUUUCAACGUCACGCAUGGUAACUAUAAUUUAAAUUUAUUUCCACAGAAAAAAACAUUUAUUUAUAAGGAAGUUAUAAAAUAAUGCAUUUGAUUAAGUAAGCAAUUUCUACAUAGCUUAACAUUUUUAAUGUAUCUGAAAUAUAUGUAAACGAAUGUGAAUGUAUGUAUCAAGUUAUAAUCAUUAAUUUUCCAGAACCGGAUCAAUAAUUUAGGUACCCAUUAGUGUUGGAUUCAAGUGAUGUUCGUUGGAUAGAAGUAUACGAAAAAAUUACCAUAUGAAAUUGGACAAAUGAUAAAAGUAUCGACAGACAUCAUACAAGUGUGAAACCUGUAUAUGUAAUGUUGAAGACGAACGAUUACUUAAAUAUGCGCUACGGUUAUCUAUACCUAUAUGGCAAUAAUACUCAAUAGACUAUAAUUUUGGUCCUUCAACUGGUGUCCAGAUUGUUAAAAUCGAAAAAUAUACUAACCUGACUAAUUUAUAUAGAUAUAAUAUGGAAACAUUAAACAUUGAAUUUUAAACCUUUUGAAGUAGGGUAUUUACGGUGCAAUGCAAAUAUGCAAUGCAUUACAUCGAUUUGCACAGUCAUGUAAAAUAUAUAAGAUAAUAUGGUGGUAGUAUUUAAACUUCGAAUGGGAGUUCUGCAGUUUUAUUACGUGGAACCACGAACACCGUCGUUUGCAUCGGAGUGGGCUACAAAAUGUUUUGGCUGAGCCAAAUAUACACGAAGUACGAGGCAUAGAUGUAGGAACAAUUAGUAAAAGUAAAGUACACCAGUAGCCAGUAGGUAUACACGUAAACGGUAUAAUAAGUUAAAUAGUUAAAAAGUCCAUUUUAAAAAGUGUGACAGAAAGUCCUGGUUCAUUUUUUAUUGUCCGACAAAACUCCGAAGAUACAAAAUAUUAUACCAUAUAAUUUAUUAUACUAC